This 373-nucleotide long non-coding RNA is filed under the name Ananas comosus (pineapple). Its description in RNAcentral is "long non-coding RNA (ACOM_LNC044474)". Lineage: Eukaryota; Viridiplantae; Streptophyta; Magnoliopsida; Poales; Bromeliaceae. The record is from RNAcentral.
ACCAGAUUUAGCUUUAGGAGCUGUGCUUCAGUUGUAUCGUCGCUGUUUGUAUGCGGUGGAUACCCAGAUUAGUAUAGGAUUAGUUUACGCUCGUGCUGAGAUGCCGAGCUUAUUUUACAGUAGUGUGUAGAUUGUUCCAGACUGUCGGGUGCCGUCGGGGUUGACGGUGGACCCAGGUUUCUGUAUCACCGCUGAUAGUGCGAGGUGGAUACUCAGAUGAGCGUAGGUUGAGUUUACGCUCGCGCUGAGGAGCCGAGUGUGUUGUUACAGUAGAGUUAGACUGUGUUGGACCAUAUCGGGUGCCGUCGGGGUUGACGGUGGACCCAGAUUUAUGUAGUUUGCAUCAGAUUGUGCUAAGGGCAUGUGAGGUUUG